GACGUAGGGGGCGAGCGUUGUCCGGAUUUCUUGGGCGUAAAGCGCGCGUAGGCGGCCGCGCAAGUCGGAUGUGAAAACCCGGGGCUCAACCCCGGGCGUGCAUUCGAUACUGCGCGGCUCGAGACAGGUAGGGGAGAUCGGAAUUCCUGGUGUAGCGGUGAAAUGCGCAGAUAUCAGGAGGAACACCGGUGGCGAAGGCGGAUCUCUGGGCCUGUUCUGACGCUGAGGCGCGAAAGCUAGGGGAGCGAACAGG
Molecule: ribosomal RNA, 253 nt
Filed under: uncultured bacterium
Lineage: Bacteria
Description: partial 16S ribosomal RNA
Rfam family: Bacterial small subunit ribosomal RNA
Source: RNAcentral